GGCUUAGUGGUGGGGUGACUGCGUACCUUUUGUAUAAUGGGUCAGCGACUUAUAUUCUGUAGCAAGGUUAACCGAAUAGGGGAGCCGGAGGGAAACCGAGUCUUAACCGGGCGUUAAGUUGCAGGGUAUAGACCCGAAACCCGGUGAUCUAGCCAUGGGCAGGUUGAAGGUUGGGUAACACUAACUGGAGGACCGAACCGACUAAUGUUGAAAAAUUAGCGGAUGACCUGUGGCUGGGGGUGAAAGGCCAAUCAAACCGGGAGAUAGCUGGUUCUCCCCGAAAGCUAUUUAGGUAGCGCCUCGUGAACUCAUCUCCGGGGGUAGAGCACUGUUUCGGCUAGGGGGCCAUCCCGGCUUACCAACCCGAUGCAAACUGCGAAUACCGGAGAAUGUUAUCACGGGAGACACACGGCGGGUGCUAACGUCCGUCGUGAAGAGGGAAACAACCCAGACCGCCAGCUAAGGUCCCAAAGUCAUGGUUAAGUGGGAAACGAUGUGGGAAGGCCCAGACAGCCAGGAUGUUGGCUUAGAAGCAGCCAUCAUUUAAAGAAAGCGUAAUAGCUCACUGGUCGAGUCGGCCUGCGCGGAAGAUGUAACGGGGCUAAACCAUGCACCGAAGCUGCGGCAGCGACACUCAGGUGUUGUUGGGUAGGGGAGCGUUCUGUAAGCCUGCGAAGGUGGCCUGUGAGGGUUGCUGGAGGUAUCAGAAGUGCGAAUGCUGACAUAAGUAACGAUAAAGCGGGUGAAAAGCCCGCUCGCCGGAAGACCAAGGGUUCCUGUCCAACGUUAAUCGGGGCAGGGUGAGUCGACCCCUAAGGCGAGGCCGAAAGGCGUAGUCGAUGGGAAACGGGUUAAUAUUCCCGUACUUGGUGUUACUGCGAAGGGGGGACGGAGAAGGCUAUGUUGGCCGGGCGACGGUUGUCCCGGUUUAAGCGUGUAGGUGUGUGUUCCAGGUAAAUCCGGUUCACUUUAACACUGAGGCGUGAUGACGAGGCACUACGGUGCUGAAGCAACAAAUGCCCUGCUUCCAGGAAAAGCCUCUAAGCAUCAGGUAACAUCAAAUCGUACCCCAAACCGACACAGGUGGUCAGGUAGAGAAUACCAAGGCGCUUGAGAGAACUCGGGUGAAGGAACUAGGCAAAAUGGUGCCGUAACUUCGGGAGAAGGCACGCUGACACGUAGGUGAAGUGAUUUACUCAUGGAGCUGAAGUCAGUCGAAGAUACCAGCUGGCUGCAACUGUUUAUUAAAAACACAGCACUGUGCAAACACGAAAGUGGACGUAUACGGUGUGACGCCUGCCCGGUGCCGGAAGGUUAAUUGAUGGGGUCAGCGCAAGCGAAGCUCCUGAUCGAAGCCCCGGUAAACGGCGGCCGUAACUAUAACGGUCCUAAGGUAGCGAAAUUCCUUGUCGGGUAAGUUCCGACCUGCACGAAUGGCGUAAUGAUGGCCAGGCUGUCUCCACCCGAGACUCAGUGAAAUUGAACUCGCUGUGAAGAUGCAGUGUACCCGCGGCAAGACGGAAAGACCCCGUGAACCUUUACUAUAGCUUGACACUGAACAUUGAGCCUUGAUGUGUAGGAUAGGUGGGAGGCUUUGAAGUGUGGACGCCAGUCUGCAUGGAGCCGGCCUUGAAAUACCACCCUUUAAUGUUUGAUGUUCUAACGUGGACCCGUGAUCCGGGUUGCGGACAGUGUCUGGUGGGUAGUUUGACUGGGGCGGUCUCCUCCUAAAGAGUAACGGAGGAGCACGAAGGUUGGCUAAUCCUGGUCGGACAUCAGGAGGUUAGUGCAAUGGCAUAAGCCAGCUUGACUGCGAGCGUGACGGCGCGAGCAGGUGCGAAAGCAGGUCAUAGUGAUCCGGUGGUUCUGAAUGGAAGGGCCAUCGCUCAACGGAUAAAAGGUACUCCGGGGAUAACAGGCUGAUACCGCCCAAGAGUUCAUAUCGACGGCGGUGUUUGGCACCUCGAUGUCGGCUCAUCACAUCCUGGGGCUGAAGUAGGUCCCAAGGGUAUGGCUGUUCGCCAUUUAAAGUGGUACGCGAGCUGGGUUUAGAACGUCGUGAGACAGUUCGGUCCCUAUCUGCCGUGGGCGCUGGAGAACUGAGGGGGGCUGCUCCUAGUACGAGAGGACCGGAGUGGACGCAUCACUGGUGUUCGGGUUGUCAUGCCAAUGGCACUGCCCGGUAGCUAAAUGCGGAAGAGAUAAGUGCUGAAAGCAUCUAAGCACGAAACUUGCCCCGAGAUGAGUUCUCCCUGAGACUUUAGGUCUCCUGAAGGAACGUUGAAGACGACGACGUUGAUAGGCCGGGUGUGUAAGCGCAGCGAUGCGUUGAGCUAACCGGUACUAAUGAACCGUGAGGCUUAACCUUACA
Molecule: ribosomal RNA, 2371 nt
Filed under: Salmonella enterica
Lineage: Bacteria; Pseudomonadati; Pseudomonadota; Gammaproteobacteria; Enterobacterales; Enterobacteriaceae
Description: partial 23S ribosomal RNA
Rfam family: Bacterial large subunit ribosomal RNA
Source: RNAcentral